CCCGCUGAACUUAAGCAUAUCAAUAAGCGGAGGAAAAGAAACUAACAAGGAUUCCCCUAGUAACUGCGAGUGAAGCGGGAAAAGCUCAAAUUUAAAAUCUGGUGGCCUUUGGCCAUCCGAGUUGUAAUUUAGAGAAGCGUCUUCCGCGCUGGACCGUGCACAAGUCUCCUGGAAUGGAGCGUCGUAGAGGGUGAGAAUCCCGUCUUUGGCACGGACGCCCAGUGCUUCUGUGAUGCGCUCUCGAAGAGUCGAGUUGUUUGGGAAUGCAGCUCAAAAUGGGUGGUGAACUCCAUCUAAAGCUAAAUAUUGGCGAGAGACCGAUAGCGAACAAGUACCGUGAGGGAAAGAUGAAAAGCACUUUGGAAAGAGAGUGAAACAGUACGUGAAAUUGUUGAAAGGGAAACGCUUGAAGUCAGUCGCGUCGUCCGAGACUCAGCCUCGCCUCGGCUUGGUGUACUUCUCGGACGACGGGUCAGCAUCAAUUUUGCCCCUUGGAUAAUGGCGAGGGAAAUGUGACACCUUUGCGGGUGUGUUAUAGUCUCUAGUCGCAUGCAAGGGUCGGGAUUGAGAAACUCAGCACGCGCCUUCGGGCGUCGGGGUUCGCCCACGAUACGUGCUUAGGAUGUUGGCGUAAUGGCUUUAAACGACCCGUCUUGAAACACGG
RNAcentral lists this ribosomal RNA (664 nucleotides) under uncultured fungus. RNAcentral describes it as "eukaryotic LSU rRNA". It matches the Rfam family "Eukaryotic large subunit ribosomal RNA", at positions 24 to 664 of the family's 3401-position model. Lineage: Eukaryota; Fungi. The record is from RNAcentral.